This is a non-coding RNA of Meleagris gallopavo (turkey), 248 nucleotides long. NCBI's taxonomy places the organism in Eukaryota, Metazoa, Chordata, Aves, Galliformes, Phasianidae. The record is from RefSeq and is a predicted model, not a curated record.
AAGGUACCAGUAUUUUUUACAAAUUAAACAGGACAUUCUUACUGGAAGGUUGCCCUGUCCAUAUAAUACUGCUGCUCUUCUGGCUUCCUAUGCUGUUCAAUCUGAGCUGGGAGACUACAACCAUUCAGAAAACCUGCCAGGCUACCUCUCAGAUUAUUCUUUCAUCCCUGGCCAGCCUCAAGACUUUGAAAAAGAGAUAGCAAAGUUACAUCAGCAGCACAUGUAAGGAUUUACAGUGAAAAACAUUG